AGAGUUUGAUCAUGGCUCAGCCUGAACGCUGGCGGCGUGGCUAAGACAUGCAAGUCGCACGGUGUAGCAAUACACAGUGGCGAACGGGAGAGUAAUGAAUCGCUAACGUGCCCCGUACACCGGGAUAGCCGCCCGAAAGGGCGGGUAAUACCGGAUGACAUCACUUCCAGGCAUCUGGGGGUGCUCAAAGGUCCGCCGGCAACGGCGGGCGGUUCGGGAGCGGGCGAUUUCGUAUCAGCUAGUUGGUGGGGUAACGGCCCACCAAGGCGACGACGCGUAGCCGGACUGAGAGGUUGGCCGGCCUCAUUGGGACUGAGACACUGCCCAGACUCCUACGGGGGGCUGCAGUAACGAAUCUUCCGCAAUGCGCGAAAGCGUGACGGAGCGACGCCGCGUGUGGGACGAAGCCCUUCGGGGUGUAAACCACUGUCAGGGGCUACCAAGAACUGAGGGGCCCCAGAGGAAGGCACGGCUAACUCUGUGCCAGCAGCCGCGGUAAGACAGAGGUGCCGAGCGUUAGGCGGAAUCACUGGGCUUAAAGCGUGUGUAGGCGGACGGGUAAGUACCUUGUGAAAUCCCACGGCUCAACCGUGGAACUGCUCGGUAUACUGCCCGUCUUGAGCCACUUAGGGGCUGUCGGAACAAACGGUGGAGCGGUGAAAUGCGUAGAUAUCGUUUGGAACGCCAACGGUGAAAACAGACAGCUGGGAGUGUGCUGACGCUGAGACACGAAAGCCAGGGGAGCGAACGGGAUUAGAUACCCCGGUAGUCC
Molecule: ribosomal RNA, 772 nt
Filed under: uncultured Planctomycetaceae bacterium
Lineage: Bacteria; Pseudomonadati; Planctomycetota; Planctomycetia; Planctomycetales; Planctomycetaceae
Description: bacterial SSU rRNA
Rfam family: Bacterial small subunit ribosomal RNA
Source: RNAcentral